Molecule: unclassified non-coding RNA, 161 nt
Filed under: uncultured fungus
Lineage: Eukaryota; Fungi
Description: sequence contains ITS1, 5.8S rRNA gene
Source: RNAcentral
UAAUACGCAUCCUUCGGGAGCGUUUGUCAAAUGUGCGCUGGCUUCGGCUGGCGUUGACAUCUUCUGUGCACUGUACAAAACCCCAACUUAACUAGUCUGAACUUAUUAUUCUUUUGCAACUAUUCAUCUCGUAUGAAAACGUGCAUAUCUGAAUUAAUAUA